Molecule: ribosomal RNA, 479 nt
Filed under: uncultured bacterium
Lineage: Bacteria
Description: partial 16S ribosomal RNA
Rfam family: Bacterial small subunit ribosomal RNA
Source: RNAcentral
GAUGAACGCUAGCGGGAGGCCUAACACAUGCAAGCCGAGCGGUAUUUGUUCUUCGGAACAGAGAGAGCGGCGCACGGGUGCGGAACACGUGUGCAACCUGCCUUUAUCUGGGGGAUAGCCUUUCGAAAGGAAGAUUAAUACCCCAUAAUAUAUUGAGUGGCAUCACUUGAUAUUGAAAACUCCGGUGGAUAGAGAUGGGCACGCGCAAGAUUAGAUAGUUGGUGAGGUAACGGCUCACCAAGUCAAUGAUCUUUAGGGGGCCUGAGAGGGUGAUCCCCCACACUGGUACGGAGACACGGACCAGACUCCUACGGGAGGCAGCAGUGAGGAAUAUUGGACAAUGGGUUAGCGCCUGAUCCAGCCAUCCCGCGUGAAGGACGACGGCCCUAUGGGUUGUAAACUUCUUUUGUAUAGGGAUAAACCUACUCUCGUGAGAGUAGCUGAAGGUACUAUACGAAUAAGCACCGGCUAACUCCGUG